UUCGAUCUUUCGCCCAAUAACCCUUUCCCUCUCGUUCUUCCGGCCAAGAAAUCCGGUGAAAUCGCUAGUUCUUGAUCAGCAAUCUUUCGAACAUGGAUCAAUUUGGGGGUGGAAGCUGGAACAUGAUCCCAACAAUGGCGACCCACAUCAACCCCACAACACCCUCCAAUCAAGACCACUUAUAUCUCCAACAACAACAACAAUUUCAACAACACCAAUUUCAUCACCAACAACAAUUCCAACUCCAACAUCACCACCAACAACAACAACAACCUUCACAAUCACUAGCUUCACACUUUCACCUCCAAAGCUUGGUGGAGAAUUUAGCUGAUGCGAUUGAGAAUGGAACCCAAGAUCAACAUUUUGAUACACUGUUGAAUUGAUUAUGAUUAUCAAUUAGAUUUUGAGAUAAGUUGCUAUUAAGGUUCUAAAAGUUGUUGGUUAUAAGAUAUGAAACUUUGAUUAUUUUGAAGGUUACUGAAUUGAGCAGCAACUUUGAGAAAUGCCAGCAACUCUUGAACACUAUAUUGGGAUCUAUCGCCAGCAAAGCUGCGGUAUGUUUGUAGUUUGUUGUUCAUGUAUAACUUGAUUUUUCUGCCAUAGUUGUCAAUAGCGAGCGCAGUGAUCGAAUGGUUGUUGAAUCUCUGCAAUUUGACCGUGAAAAGAAGGUGAUUCAUCCUUUGAACUGUUCAUUUCCUAUUGCCGAUAUCUGUAUGACACUUUCCAGCGAUGAGGCUGAUCGUUUAAUCAACGGUUUUGGUUUCGGUUUCUCUGCUUCAUCAACGAUGAGAACUCCAGAAGGUGUUUCUGGUUUUGGAAGCUGCAGAUGUGGUGGAGAUACUAGAGUUUGUUCAACGUUACCGUAAAUUCCGUUGUGUUCUAACGGUCUUCUUUGAUCUCUCUGUUCUCAAUUUCAUCAGAGUUAUUGUUACUGUUA
Long non-coding RNA from Helianthus annuus (common sunflower), 937 nucleotides. RefSeq lists it as uncharacterized. NCBI's taxonomy places the organism in Eukaryota, Viridiplantae, Streptophyta, Magnoliopsida, Asterales, Asteraceae. The record is from RefSeq and is a predicted model, not a curated record. The transcript is spliced from 2 exons.